CAGUCCUAUAUAGACGUUUUCUGUUCUACGAUUUAAUAAUGCGUAUACCACAGGAACUGACUUAAAUUACAAAUGUAAAUUGAAGAAAAUAAAAUUUAAAUAAACUAAAUAUCGUGGAUUGUGAUCAACUGCUCGGAAUCAGCAGGAACUCGCGGAAUAACACCAAAUGUACCAUCAAUUGCCAAGACUCUUGCUUCACGUAGGUAUGGAGCAAUGUGUCGUAUAAAUGUCAAAUUUAAAAAAUCAAUCCUCCAAAAAUCAAUUCUUCAUUGACUAUGAACUCCAAGUUUCCAUGGAAGAAUGGUGCAUUAUCGUCUACUGAAUAAAGUAGACGGUUUUGCCAUGUUGGUGACACAAUAAUCUCUCCCAUGGCCCUGAGAUUAUCUGGUGUUGGGGGAUUCACACUUCGUGGCACAUAGCGCAUUGCCCGUAGUGCUUGCUCACGAGACACCUCUAUACCUGCAUUUGGAAAUCUAAAAAAUUAUUAUUCAUAAUUGUCCGUGCAGGUGUCCCCUCUGUUAAAGCACGCCGUCUCAUUGCAUCGUAGAAUGCCCCAAUCUCUAUAUCAUGCCCUACAUGAUGAUUGUGUGGUUGAUACAUUAGAAUCGGACUAUUUUCUGGAAAUAGUGACAUUGAUGCAGUAGCAGUACAUCCCCGUUCGUAACGCGAACAUCGAAGCUGUCUAUAAGGUUAUUUUUUAAGUAUUCAAUACUAACCGUCGAUUAGUGGAUUGAUGAUUUUGCACAUAUGUGUAUCCAACAUCAUCAGCAUAUACCAAGUGACCUCUGAGCCCUGGUACUCUCCUUGAUGGAGCUCCUUCAUUGCCAAGAAGAAUAUCGAUCACUCUAUGAGGUGACCGAGAUCUCGACCUGAUUCUUCCACCAUGUUCAUCUGAUGAAUUGUGUACAUACAUUUUUAUAUUGAAAAUUAUUAAGCAAAUACUAGUUUAACAUUUGUUUUAAAUUUACAAAUAAUUUUAUUUUUUGUCACUAAAAUUUUGAAUUGAUAUUGAGUAAAUUAACAUAUUUAUUUUUAUGUAUAUUAUAAUUUAUUAUGUAAAUUUAAAUAUAGAAAUAUAAUCAUUAAUGAUAAAUUA
Molecule: long non-coding RNA, 1096 nt
Organism: Aphis gossypii (cotton aphid)
Lineage: Eukaryota; Metazoa; Arthropoda; Insecta; Hemiptera; Aphididae
Exons: 4
Source: RefSeq, a predicted model, not a curated record